AGCGAACGCUGGCGGCAGGCCUAACACAUGCAAGUCGAGCGCCCAGCAAUGGGAGCGGCAGACGGGAGAGUAACACGUGGGAACGUGCCUUUUGGUUCGGAAUAACUCAGGGAAACUUGAGCUAAUACCGGAUAAGCCCUUACGGGGAAAGAUUUAUUGCCAAAAGAGCGGCCCGCGUCCGAUUAGCUAGUUGGUGAGGUAAUGGCUCACCAAGGCGACGAUCGGUAGCUGGUCUGAGAGGAUGACCAGCCUCAUUGGGACUGAGACACGGCCCAAACUCCUACGGGAGGCAGCAGUGGGGAAUAUUGGACAAUGGGCGCAAGCCUGAUCCAGCCAUGCCGCGUGAGUGAUGAAGGCC
RNAcentral lists this ribosomal RNA (358 nucleotides) under uncultured bacterium. RNAcentral's name for it is "bacterial SSU rRNA". It matches the Rfam family "Bacterial small subunit ribosomal RNA", at positions 29 to 416 of the family's 1533-position model. The record is from RNAcentral.